RNAcentral lists this ribosomal RNA (337 nucleotides) under uncultured marine eukaryote. RNAcentral's name for it is "bacterial SSU rRNA". It matches the Rfam family "Eukaryotic small subunit ribosomal RNA", at positions 618 to 967 of the family's 1831-position model. The record is from RNAcentral.
GUUAAAAAGCUCGUAGUUGGAUUUCUGGUCGGGUGGCCCGGCCCUCAAGCUGAGUGCGCUGUGCCGCCCGUCCAUCCUUCUGUUAACCUUUAAGUCCUUCACGGACUUUCUGGGGCUCAGAUAUUUUACCUUGAGAAAAUUAGAGUGUUUCAGGCAGGCUAGCGCCGGAAUACACUAGCAUGGAAUAAUAGAAUAGGACUUUUGCCUCUUCUGUUGGUCUGAGGGGUUCGAGUAAUGAUUAAUAGGGAUAGUUGGGGGCAUUAGGACUUUACUGUCAGAGGUGAAAUUCUCGGAUUUGUAAAAGACUAACUUAUGCGAAAGCAUUUGCCAAGGAUGU